CAGCAGCCGCGGUAAUACGGAGGGUGCAAGCGUUAAUCGGAAUUACUGGGCGUAAAGCGCACGCAGGCGGUCUGUCAAGUCAGAUGUGAAAUCCCCGGGCUUAACCUGGGAACUGCAUUUGAAACUGGCAGGCUAGAGUCUUGUAGAGGGGGGUAGAAUUCCAGGUGUAGCGGUGAAAUGCGUAGAGAUCUGGAGGAAUACCGGUGGCGAAGGCGGCCCCCUGGACAAAGACUGACGCUCAGGUGCGAAAGCGUGGGGAGCAAACAGGAUUAGAUACCCGAGUAGUCCCUGUCUCUUAUAA
Molecule: ribosomal RNA, 301 nt
Filed under: uncultured bacterium
Lineage: Bacteria
Description: partial 16S ribosomal RNA
Rfam family: Bacterial small subunit ribosomal RNA
Source: RNAcentral